AACGAACGCUGGCGGCAGGCCUAACGCAUGCAAGUCGAACGCCCGUAGCAAUACGGGAGUGGCAGACGGGUGAGUAACGGGUGGGAACGUACCCUUUGGUUCGGAACAACUCCGGGAAACUGGAGCUAAUACCGGAUGAGCCCUACGGGGGAAAGAUUUAUCGCCGAAGGAUCGGCCCGCGUCGGAUUAGCUUGUUGGUGAGGUAACGGCUCACCAAGGCGACGAUCCGUAGCUGGUCUGAGAGGAUGAUCAGUCACACUGGGACUGAGACACGGCCCAGACUCCUACGGGAGGCAGCAGUGGGGAAUAUUGGACAAUGGGCGCAAGCCUGAUCCAGCCAUGCCGCGUGAGUGAUGAAGGCCUUAGGGUUGUAAAGCUCUUUCGCCAGGGACGAUAAUGACGGUACCUGGAUAAGAAGCCCCGGCUAACUUCGUGCCAGCAGCCGCGGUAAUACGAAGGGGGCUAGCGUUGUUCGGAAUCACUGGGCGUAAAGCGCAUGCAGGCGG
RNAcentral lists this ribosomal RNA (506 nucleotides) under uncultured bacterium. RNAcentral describes it as "bacterial SSU rRNA". It matches the Rfam family "Bacterial small subunit ribosomal RNA", at positions 28 to 578 of the family's 1533-position model. The record is from RNAcentral.